Molecule: long non-coding RNA, 1785 nt
Filed under: Homo sapiens (human)
Lineage: Eukaryota; Metazoa; Chordata; Mammalia; Primates; Hominidae
Description: long non-coding RNA NONHSAT198488.1
Source: RNAcentral
GGGUCCUCCCACCCCCGCGUGGGCCAUCCCGGCCCAGCCUUCCCGAGGCCCCGGGUACUCGCCUUGCGCUCGGGUCGCGGAGUUCGAAAAGCGAGGCAGGGUCUCACUUUGUCACCCAGGCUGGAGUGUAGUGAGGCAAUCUCAGCUCAUUGCGCCUCCGCCUCUGGGUCCAAGCUAUCCUCCCACGUCAGCCUCCCAGGUAGCUGGGAUUACAGGCGCGCACCAUCAGCCAAGGCAUAGUCUCAUCACUCUGUCACCCAGGCUGGAAUGUAGUAGUGCAAUCUCGGCUCUCUGCAACCUUCACCUCCUGGAUUCAAGUGAUUCUCCUGCCUCAGCCUCCUGAGUAGCUGGGAUUACAGGGUGUGGUGAGUGAAAUGGAGAAGGCUAAACUUUUUCUUCCCACAUGCUCACUUCCUUGCUUGUUCGCUAGCUGCUGCAUCUGGCCCCUCAAGGGUAAAGUCAAGGGGAAAAGGAGAUUGAGAGGAAGGACAGUCUGUGAAUUGGGUCUCACCGUGUUUCCCAGGCUGAAGUACAGUGUUGUGAUAUCAGUUCAUUGCAACUUCUGUCUUCUGAGCUCAAGCAAUCCUCUUGCCUCAGCCUCUCAAGUAGCUGGGACUGACUACAGGCAUGAACCACCACACCUGGCUAAUUUUUUUUGUAUUUUUGUCGAAAAGACAGUUUCGCCAUGUUGUACAGGGCGAGGGAUAUUUCUGCUGACAAUUCAACAUUCAAAGGGAUGAGUGUAUGACGUCUCUAAGAGAUGUCAUGGAGUGCAUGUAGAAGGGACUUUUUAUGGAGGACUACUUCUCAAAUCACUAUUCACAUCCUGGUAGAAGUCAAGCAAUGAAGAUGGCACAGAAACACAUCCCAAAUACUAUGAUACCAUAAAGUAUACUGUAGCAAUGCAUUGGCACACCCUCAUUUGAACAUUUGUCUCAGAAGAUUUUGACAGAAGAUAAAAUUGUCUGGUUUUUAUUUCAUUGGUUUCAUGAAAAUUUAUUUCACUGGUUUCAUGUCACAGGCCCAUGACUGUAUAAAGAGUCAUAAUCUUUACAAACACAACAAUGACUCACAGCGACAUGUUGCAAAGCUGUAAUCGAAAACACUGAUGUUGAUUUCAGAGGCCAUUAAUGGUGUUAAGAAGGCGCUUUUGUUAACCAAAUAAUUGAAUACUCGUAAUUACUUUUCAGUUCUAGUUCAGUUCUUGACACCAAAACAAGCCAUUUUCUUUACAUAGUGAAUGCAGAACUUGCCAGUAAGAACUUUCAUACUAAACUUCUAUGUAAAACAAAACAUGUCAAAAUCAGUAACUACUUUAAUGGAAUGGUAAAGAAUUUACUUAAACACAAAGGAAUGAAAAUAUCUCUGCAAAUAUGUCUAUUGACUUUUCAAAUUUGGUGACUUCUUUCGAAUUAAUUCCCUUACGUCUGUUCCUCAUCCACAUAAAAAUGACAAAAAUGAAAGAUAAUUUUCCAGCCUAUAAUUAAAUUUCUCCAUUGUUGGUAUAUGUUUUUUCAAAUACAUUUUUCAGUUUUCAUAAUUCAUAUGAGAAUUAUUAAAAGGGAGUUAGUUGCCUUUAGGACCUUAUUUGGAGCCUAAUUCUUAAAAAUUGUGUAAAAAUAAUUGUGACUUUUAAGAGACAAUUGGAAAUUUGAACCUGACCACAUUUUUGUGAUAUUAAGGAAUUUUAUUAAUUAUUUUCUAGGUGGGGGAAUGAUAUGAUGAUAUUCUUAAAAUAAUGUGUGGAUUGUUUAUUACAUUUCAACAUUUUCUUAAUCAUCAAAC